Mercenaria mercenaria is the source of this 1800-nucleotide long non-coding RNA. RefSeq lists it as uncharacterized. The transcript has 2 exons. The record is from RefSeq and is a predicted model, not a curated record. Lineage: Eukaryota; Metazoa; Mollusca; Bivalvia; Venerida; Veneridae.
ACUUCAUGUCAUUUUGUUCCACUGCAACUAUUAUGCAGCUGCAAUUUCUAAUUUAUCAUGCUUUUAAUUUAUAAGAAGGAAAAUUGGAUAUUCUUUUUAAAUGAAAAUACCAAAUGGAGCAAAAAAAAAAUAAGGCCAGUAGAGUUAUCUCCACAGGUGGCACUACUGAGUAAACAAUGCUACCAGUCUGCUGACUACAAUAUUACACAGUAUAUUCAGGGAAUAUUUGGUUUAAAUCAAUGUUUUAACUGUUAUUAUAUGAAAAUUAUUUUUUAACAGGAAGAAAUGUUUAUGGAUAAUUAAUUAAUUUAGUUAUUAUUAUAGAUCAUUAUACCUUUUAUUGAAACAGCAGAACAUUAUAUCGAAAAUUUAGCAAAAAUACACAUAUUAAGCAGCUUUUUGUUAUUUAUAGGUACUUUUAUUGUAACUUCUUCUUUUGUUAAUUCUGAUAUCUUUAACUACAUUUAUCACUUAGUCUAAUUCUUUUCAAUAUUAAUAUGAUUUUCAAAUUUUCAACAACAAAAAGUAGCAUCUUUAAUAAUGGGAAUUGCAUGUCUAGUCCAAGUCUAUUAUAACUUUUUAGAAUUUUUAUUUUUAGAAUUGUGAUUAGAGCCAGUCUAUAAUUAUCUAAGGUCCAAUAUCAUAUGAUAAUAUUAAAAUCUGUAAAUUAGACUGGCAUUUGUCACAAGAACAUAAAUUUUUAAAAAUCACAUUUUUUUUCAAUUUUGUGACAAGUUCUUUAUUAUCAGUCUUGCGGCUAGUCUAGUCUAGUCCACCUACUUAUGAUGGUCUUUGUCUAAUAUUUACCCAUUUCAACAAAAUAAACUGGAAUGUACAAGUAUAUAAAAUUUCUAUGUUCAAGGUUAAAUGUAAAGAUUUAGGUUUUCCCUUUAGGAGUCUUACAGAAUAUUGACAUAUAUUAUAUUUGCAAUGUUCAGGGAGAUUAUUUGAGCUUAUCAUACUUUAACUUAUGGAAAAUAUAUCAGCUUUUACAUAUUGUUACAUGCUAUAUUACAUAAUAUAUAAAUAACUUCUCCAACUACUAUGAAGCAAAAAAAAGUAUAAACAGUACUGUCAACUGAUGAAUGCAUCAGAGACAUUUUUUGGCCUCAUUAUUCAUCACAAUGUACAGUUUCAAUUUUAGAUCAUUAUACCCAAUAAUAAACUAUGAAAAAAUUAUGGACAUCUAAGUGUUAAAUUAAAUCUAUUUUUCAGGUAUAGCAUCAUAUGUGUAUAUAAAGUAUCAGCACACAUGAAUGAAUUGAGACAUGUUUAGUGACCCAAUGUAUUGUGUUCAAAGGCUCCAUCCAACAGUUCAAAGACAUGUCAUAGCAGUGGAGCAAAUGGUGGCAAAUGAUGGCUUUGUGGUGGUUAGUGAAAAACUGUGGCAAUCUACAUUGGUGGUGGCAAACACUGACAGAAAAUUUCUGGACCAGCAGUGACAUAAGUUGAAAAUAAUGACAUAUUUUACACUGUACUGAAGAUGUAAUUGCGAAAAUUAUUCAAGAAAUAAUAUUAUCUCAUUCAGUGAUUUGUCGCUGAAUAAAUCAUUGUUUGGAGUUCAGAUGCGAAGGAAUUAUAUCACGAGGGCGCAACAUUACUGAAAGGAUUUUCUUCAAACUUUCACAAAUGAACAAUCUUGAUGGGUAGAUACAACUACAAUUACAAUGCAUUCAAAAUCAGUGGCACAGAAACUGGUAGGGGACUAUGUAUUGCCUUGCAAUACUUCAGCACCUUGUUGUUUUAUAUGUGUAACCUGUAAAUGAUUAUUGAUGUGUUUUAUAAAGUUAAGAAGUCCUA